Molecule: ribosomal RNA, 270 nt
Filed under: uncultured archaeon
Lineage: Archaea
Description: partial 16S ribosomal RNA
Rfam family: Archaeal small subunit ribosomal RNA
Source: RNAcentral
CAGCACCUCAAGUGGUCAGGAUGAUUAUUGGGCCUAAAGCAUCCGUAGCCGGCGCUGUAAGUUUUCGGUUAAAUCUGUACGCUCAACGUACAGGCUGCCGGGAAUACUGCAGCGCUAGGGAGUGGGAGAGGUAGACGGUACUCGGUAGGAAGGGGUAAAAUCCUUUGAUCUAUUGAUGACCACCUGUGGCGAAGGCGGUCUACGAGAACACGUCCGACGGUGAGGGAUGAAAGCUGGGGGAGCAAACCGGAUUAGAGACCCGAGUAGUCC